AAAAAAAAAAAAAGCACUCAUAAGGCAUCAGGGUCAGACUGGGCACCCUGCGCUUCUUCCUGCCUGCUGUCUCAGGUCUUCUCCCUCCAGUCUGACCCUGUAAGGCAUCAUCUGCAAUUUGCAGUAUAAUUUUACUCCCUAGGUCCUCAAAAGGAAUAUUAUUACAACAGAGAACAAAUGAAGUUUAAAAAAGAGUGAUAAGGCUGACAAAGAUGAAUGGAGAAGAGACACUUAAUGGGUAUAUGAUAGCUAUGGAUAAAUAUAUGCAUAAAUAUAUAAUGGUUAUAUACUACACUCACUAAAGCUUUAUUCACCACUAUAUCCUUCCAGCAGACACAAGGGCAUCCAUAGAAAUUAGAAGAAAGGAGGUUCCUUUUAAAUAUUUGAAGAGUGAGGAUUUGGGUGGGCCAUGAAGAUGAUCGCAUUUUAAGUUGUUCAUCACCUCGCCAACCCUAAUCAGCGUCCAUCCUCACCACAGCAAGCCCAAAAACGGGCUAAUGCUAAAGCUAAAGUGAGCAACAGCUGAUAAAAUAUUUGAGGGACUUCAAUCAUCCAUGGAUAACACACUGUUGACCAUAGAGUCAAACUCAAAAUACAUAACAGAGGCAAAACAAGAGAUAAGUAAGUGACACUGAAGACAGAGUUAUUCAACUCCAGACCACAGAAUCACCUAUGAUUUGCAAGACAAAAUUGAGGACUUGGAAAACAGGGGCCACCGCAGCAACCUCCGCUUCAUAGGCAUCCCUGAAAUCAUCAAAGGGUCCGUCUUACUUCAGCUACUAUCAACAACUAUCUACACAAAUACAAACAAUUGAAACUGACUAAAUUAUGACCACUUUCACAGAAUAGGCCCAGAGAGACCAGACCAACAGCAACGACCUAGACCUGUAAUUGCAAAGUUUCUCAACUUUCAGGACAAAGAGAAUAUACUUCUGGCCUACAGAAAAGACAAGAAACUCACUGUAGAUGGCCACGACCUUCUCAUCUUUCAAGAUUUCUCUGCCUCCCUGGCCCAAAAAAGACGAGACUUUGCACAAAUCUGCAAGAAACCUCAGAUUCGCGCUCCUAUACCCAGCCCGUUUGCUAGUCACUGAAAAUGGCCAGACACUGCUAUUCGACAACCCAAAAGACACCAUCAAACAUUUUGUAGAUAACCCCUGACCAUCCAUCCCCUCCCCAAAUUCACCAAGGAAAUAGUUCCUCACCGUCUUCCCUUCGAGUUAUUGAGAGACACAGGGUUUAAUCCAAGUCUCACCCUGCAUGUGUUAGGAAAAGUUGGAACAUUUUAAAAACUUUAAUUACUUUUAACUAUUGCUUUUGAUCUGCGACUUACAAGAACAAAUGUUGUAUUUUUUUCUUAUUGUUUGUUUUCUUUGCUUCGAUAAGGACAUGGAUACUCUCCCUGCACACCCCGCAGACACUAACUGGCAAGCCAUGCUCGCUGGGACUUGGUGACCGAGGAAGCACACUAGAGGGCAGGUGAUGGCGGAACAUUACAAGACACCUGGAUAGACGGGUAGGCCAACUAUUAUCUACGAUUAAGAACAAAAAUGUAAGUAUACCAGAGGCAUCCACUCUAUUCUCAAUGAUAAAAACACAUCUUUACUUACUACCAAGCAAAGAGCUAUAUAUACAAGGUGGGAUGUGCCCUGCAGGACAGGGACUGGGGCAAUGAUCUAGAUGAUUUUUUAUCAGACAGCAAUACUUCUCGAGUUAUUGCAGGGACCUACACAACUCUAUUCAAAAAGCUAGACCACACAACUAUCUCCAUGGGCCUAUCACAGUGGCAAAAUAAGAUACCAAUCCUAACAAUCCCAUAUAUUCUGAAAGCCAAAAGAGAUACAACCUAUUCAUGAAAAGCAGCCACUUACACUGAAAUGAUGUUAAAAAUCAUUCGUAGAGGCUACCUAUGCCCACAUCGUAGGCACCUCACAAACCCCACACCAAGCUUUCCUAAAAUGUGUGACACCGCAGGCAGAUUUAUUUCACUGCUUAUGGGACUGCCCACACAUAAAACGCUUCUGGAUACAAAUUAAAGAUUGAGCCAAAUCUGUCUUUCUCAACACUUACAAGUAUAUCUGUAGUAGCUAAAAAAAAUUCUUCAAUGGUGGAUACUCACUAGCCCACCUCAAAAAUAUUCCAUGUUUUCUUAAUAGAAUUGGCAGAGGCUUCCUUACAGAAGGAAACCUACACUAGCAAACUCUUCUCCACCUGGGAAAAAGCUACAUUGACACCUCAUCAUUAAAACACAAAAAUUGCUUCCAGGCCACCAAGUGGUAUGAAAGUGGCCUAUUCACUUACCUGCUGAUUAAGAGAGUGUGCAGAAUGAGAAGUCCGGAUCCAGGUCCCCAUUUAUCUUCCUAUACUUUUUCUUUCUUCCUUCUUUACUGUUCUUUUUAAAUUUUAGUUUAGUUAACAUACAGUUUUGUUAUCAUUUGUAGUUACUUAAAUGUGAAUACUUGUAAACCUUUUGUGUAUGGAAAACUAUAUACCUGAAACCAUUAUGAUGUAUGUAAGAUGCCCUUCAAUUCUUUUUAAAGGAGAAGGCAUGGCAUUUUACAAUCGGGUUGCCAGACGCAUGCACAGUAGAGUGAAAUAGACGUCUUUUUCGUUAAAGUCCGGCUUUCCACUCUACAGCACAUGCACAACUGUGAGAAUACCUGAAGAAGCAGGAAGAGGAUCUCUCCAUGGUGGUUGCUAGAAGAACCCCAAGCCGGUGAGAUUUUCUGCUGAUAGGAGCGCCAGCCCGGGUUGUCAGCUCCAGAAAUUUGUUCUGACUGCUUCUAUUCACUCAUACAUAACAAAAGCACCGGGUCAAGUGGUAAUGAGGACUGAAAUGGGAAAAGAGGAACUCCACAUGGACAUUAAGAUGACAGUCCUAUUCAUGCGAGGGGGGCUUUGGACCCCUUCCAUCUGUGCAGCAGAGGGAAGGGUAUUCUACAGAACAGCUAUGUAUUUUAAGUGCUAAAACUCACAACCUCUGAAUACGACAGGAGGCAGGAGCAUUUUCUUUCAAAUGCUAUGAUGUGUUUAAUAUAUCUUAUGAAUCUUAUUUUUAUUGUGUAUUUAUAUUUUCUAAAACUCUAUACCACUCUACCAAAUGGCAUCCAUAAAUUACAGCUUUUAUUAUUUUAGAUCACCAUAAUCACUGCAAACUGCAAGCACUGCAAACUGUUUUAGGCACUAUACUUUGAAAAGUAAAGCAUUACACAAACACUAAUAAAGUGUAUUUUUGCAUAUUGAAUAAGCAAACAGGUGCUUAGAUGAAUAGUAAGUAUGAUGCCAGCAAUUAUUAUUGCUAUGUACCUAUAUAAUCAGCUAGUUAUUACAGGUCACAACCAUUAUUUUAGCUAUCCUAUUUUGCUAUUAUAAAGCAAUACCAUUAUUUCACUGUAAUAUACAGACUCUUCUGUCAUGCAUAUACAGGUAUCUGUAAGUCAAAAGUGCAUUUUUAAGACAGCAGUUUUGUCUGUUACUGUCAUUCUCUUGCAGCAGGGAGUAAGCCUUGUUUAGUGCAGCACAAGCAUGCCAUUUACAUAACAAAUCUGUAUUAGGGGGUCAAAGAAGUGUAUGAUCUGUUAAAAUGUGUACAACGUCUUUUGUUGGGAUAUAAUAGUUUAGAGCGUGAUCCCCAACCAGUGGCUCAUGAGCAGCAUGUCGGUCUCCAACCCUUUGGAUGUUG
Long non-coding RNA from Xenopus laevis (African clawed frog), 3682 nucleotides. RefSeq lists it as uncharacterized. NCBI's taxonomy places the organism in Eukaryota, Metazoa, Chordata, Amphibia, Anura, Pipidae. The record is from RefSeq and is a predicted model, not a curated record. The transcript is spliced from 3 exons.